This 1437-nucleotide long non-coding RNA is filed under the name Equus caballus (horse). Its description in RNAcentral is "lncRNA (ENSECAG00000059194.1)". The record is from RNAcentral. Lineage: Eukaryota; Metazoa; Chordata; Mammalia; Perissodactyla; Equidae.
CUCAGCUUGACAGAAGACAGAAAGGCAGCAAGUCACCGGGGAAAGAGUGUGAACCUGGAGUCAGCUAGGGCUGGGUUUAACCCAGUGCUGCCACUUCUUAGCUGAGUAACCCCAGGUACUGCUGCUGAUGACUCAUGCUUGGUAAGUCAACAUUCCACUGUCAUCGAGCACAGGAGACGGUUAAAGAGCCUAAUCAGAUGAGGAAACUGAGGCACAGAGAGUGACUCCACUGGCCCUCAGCCUUUCCCUUCCACGACCUCAGCCUGGAACUUGUCAUUGCCAACAACUGCAUCCUGUUUCAAGUGCCCCUAAGAAGCCCACUGCCUCCCUUCUCUUCCCCCCAGUCCUCUCGCUCACCCAGAACCUUCUGCAGCCUCACUUCUGUCCAUACGAGGGUAGCGUUCUUCGUUUUCAUCACGCUCCCCACACACGCUCAGCCCCCUGGCCCCUCGCCCACGUGGAAUUCUUGUCUGACACGAUCCAACCCUGGGCACGUCCAACCUCUUGCCCAUCCCAUGGCUGCAGCCUCCCUUGAGGAAGUGCUCGUCGCGCAGCCGGGUGCCACAGGCGUGGCCAUGGCUCCCUGACACCCUUAGCACCUCUGCCCGUGGGCCGCUCCCCCUGCUGUCCGCAAGCCUCUCACCCCAGCCUCCACCCUGUGCACCACCCUCUCUCAGUUCCGGCGGGGUCUUCCUUCCUGGCUCUGGAAACAGCAGCAACCAGAAGACACCUGUCCAGGCUGGGCCACCACAUCCACCCGUCCCCGGCUGUCCUAGCUGCGUUCCCCCCACCCCACCACAGCCUGUGCCCCCUUCCCACGGCAUCCCGCACGCUGUGAUUUCUCCCAUCUCAGAAAUCCCUCUAUUGACGCCACCUUACCUCCAGCUGCCAUCAGUCCUCUGCUCUUUCUGAAGGCAAAGCCCCUCCCAAGUCAUCCACUUGCCGUCUCCAAUUGUUCCCCUUCCCUGUCAGCCUCCCCGACAGUUCUCACCCACCCGGCUCCACAGUGUCCACCUCAAGGCCACUGAAGAUUUUCACAUCCCUCAGUCGGGGGGUCAGUGCUCAGACCCCCGAGGACGUGGCUCUUGGCGUCCUGGCUCCGACAGACUCCCCAGCCCUCUCCUCGUCCCGCAUCGCUGCUCCUGGCCGUCCGCUUUGCUGGCUCAUCCUCCUCUCUCAGCCUCCAAACCCUGGAGUUCUUGGGGUGUCGUUAGUGGAAUUUCUCUCUUCUACAUCCGCUCACUCCUUGGGAAUCUACCCAGUUUCAAAGCUUCAAACAUCAAUAAUACUCUGACGAGCCCCAGAGCUCAUCUAUCCCCAGCCCGGACCACCCCAAGCUCCAGAUGCUGCACCCAACUCGCUACUGGAUGUUGCCACUCGGAUGGCUAGUAGGCGUCUCCUAGGUAAACACACCCACGACAGCUCCUGACCUCCCCA